RNAcentral lists this ribosomal RNA (479 nucleotides) under uncultured bacterium. Its description in RNAcentral is "bacterial SSU rRNA". It matches the Rfam family "Bacterial small subunit ribosomal RNA", at positions 28 to 524 of the family's 1533-position model. The record is from RNAcentral.
GACGAACGCUGGCGGCGCGCUUAAUACAUGCAAGUCGAACGAGAAGCCAGAGCUUGCUCUGGUGGAAAGUGGCGAACGGUGAGUAACACGUGAGAAACCUGCCCCAAAGAUUGGGAUAAGCCUUGGAAACGAGGUCUAAUACCAAAUACCUUCCUUUUAACACAUGUUAAAAAGAAGAAAUGCUCCGGCGCUUUGGGAUGGUCUCGCGAUCUAUCAGCUUGUUGGUGAGGUAACGGCUCACCAAGGCAUCGACGGAUAGCUGGUCUGAGAGGAUGUCCAGCCACAUUGGAACUGAGACACGGUCCAAACUCCUACGGGAGGCAGCAGUAGGGAAUCUUGCACAAUGAGGGAAACCUUGAUGCAGCGACGCCGCGUGCGGGACGAAGGCCCUAGGGUUGUAAACCGCUUUCAGUAGGGACGAAAGUGACGGUACCUACAGAAGAAGCCCCGGCCAACUAUGUGCCAGCAGCCGCGGUAAU